Molecule: ribosomal RNA, 548 nt
Filed under: Colobodactylus taunayi
Lineage: Eukaryota; Metazoa; Chordata; Lepidosauria; Squamata; Gymnophthalmidae
Description: partial 16S ribosomal RNA
Rfam family: Bacterial large subunit ribosomal RNA
Source: RNAcentral
UCGCCUGUUUAUCAAAAACAUAGCCUUUAGCAAACAAAGUAUUAAAGGUGCCGCCUGCCCAGUGACCUAGUUCAACGGCCGCGGGAUCCUCCACCGUGCAAAGGUAGCAUAAUCACUUGUCUCCUAAAUAGAGACCAGUAUGAACGGCCUAAUGAAGAUUUACCUGUCUCUUGUAGCCUAUCUAUUAAACUGAUCUUUCAGUACAAAAGCUGAAAUUAAAACACAAGACGAAAAGACCCUGUGGAACUUUAAGCCAAGAAUCAACUCAAAUGGUUUAACGGCCUUUAGUUGGGGCAACUUUGGAAAAAAACUAAACUUCCAACAUAUACUAAGACAGACAUGUCUAAGCCCACCACCCCUAGACCCAGUCAUACUGAUCAAAGAAACAAGCUACCCCAGGGAUAACAGCGCCAUCCCCUCUUAGAGCCCCAAUCGACGAGCGGGGUUUACGACCUCGAUGUUGGAUCAGGGCACCCAAGCAGUGCAGCAGCUGCUAAAGGUUUGUUUGUUCAACAAUUAAUGCCCUACGUGAUCUGAGUUCAGACCGG